Molecule: ribosomal RNA, 497 nt
Filed under: uncultured bacterium
Lineage: Bacteria
Description: partial 16S ribosomal RNA
Rfam family: Bacterial small subunit ribosomal RNA
Source: RNAcentral
GAUGAACGCUGGCGGCGUGCCUAACACAUGCAAGUCGAGCGAACGGACGAUAAGCUCUUUCCUCUGCUGUUAGCGGCUGACGGGUGAGUAACACGUGGAUCACCUACUUCUUUUACUUGGAUAAUUUCGUGAAACCGCAUCCAAUACUGGAUCAUAUUUUGUACCGCUUGGUUCAAAAGUUCAUCACGGCCUUCCCGUCUCUUUUAGCCGAUUCCGCGCUGCAUUAGCUAGUUGGUAAGGUAACGGCCUACCAAGGCGACGAUGCAGAGCUGACCUGAGAGGAUGAUCAGCCACACUGGAACUGAGACACGGUCCAGACUCCUACGGGAGGCAGCAGUGGGGAAUAUUGGGCAAUGGGCGAAAGCCUGACGGAGCAACGCCGCGUGGGUGAAGAAGGUCUUCGGAUCGUAAAACCCUGUUGUUAGGGAAGAAAAGAUGUAGGAGAAAAUGUGGACAUCUUGACGGUACCUAAACAAAAAGCAACGGCUAACUUCGUG